RNAcentral lists this transfer RNA (74 nucleotides) under Candidatus Acetothermia bacterium. Its description in RNAcentral is "tRNA-Arg". It matches the Rfam family "tRNA". From Rfam's summary of the family: Transfer RNA (tRNA) molecules are approximately 80 nucleotides in length. Their secondary structure includes four short double-helical elements and three loops (D, anti-codon, and T loops). Lineage: Bacteria; Candidatus Bipolaricaulota. The record is from RNAcentral.
GCGCCCGCUGCUCAAGUGUAUGCAGCCCAGGUCUUCGGAACCGGGGGUUGGGGGUUCAAGUCCCUUCGGGCGUA